Molecule: ribosomal RNA, 694 nt
Filed under: uncultured Bacteroidales bacterium
Lineage: Bacteria; Pseudomonadati; Bacteroidota; Bacteroidia; Bacteroidales
Description: bacterial SSU rRNA
Rfam family: Bacterial small subunit ribosomal RNA
Source: RNAcentral
AACGCUAGCUACAGGCUUAACACAUGCAAGUCCAGGGGCAGCGGGGUUGAAGCUUGCUUCAACCGCCGGCGACCGGCGCACGGGUGAGUAACACGUAUCCAACCUGCCCAUAACUCUGGGAUAGCCUUUCGAAAGAAAGAUUAAUACCGGAUGGCAUAGUUUUCCCGCAUGGAAUAACUAUUAAAGAAUUUCGGUUAUCGAUGGGGAUGCGUUCCAUUAGGCAGUUGGCGGGGUAACGGCCCACCAAACCGACGAUGGAUAGGGGUUCUGAGAGGAAGGUCCCCCACAUUGGAACUGAGACACGGUCCAAACUCCUACGGGAGGCAGCAGUGAGGUUUUUUGGUCAAUGGACGAGAGUCUGAACCAGCCAAGUAGCGUGAAGGAUGACUGCCCUAUGGCCCCCCCACUUCUUUUAUACGGGAAUAAAGUUGGCCACGUGUGGGUUUUUUGCAUGUACCGUAUGAAUAAGGAUCGGCUAACUCCGUGCCAGCAGCCGCGGUAAUACGGAGGAUCCGAGCGUUAUCCGGAUUUAUUGGGUUUAAAGGGAGCGUAGGCGGGGUAUUAAGUCAGUUGUGAAAGUUUGCGGCUCAACCGUAAAAUUGCAGUUGAUACUGGUAUCCUUGAGUGCAGCAGAGGUGGGCGGAAUUCGUGGUGUAGCGGUGAAAUGCUUAGAUAUCACGAAGAACUCCGAUUG